UACGUAGGGUGCGAGCGUUAAUCGGAAUUACUGGGCGUAAAGCGUGCGCAGGCGGUUUUGCAAGCCGGAUGUGAAAUCCCCGGGCUCAACCUGGGAAUGGCAUUCGGGACUGCAAGGCUGGAGUGCGGCAGAGGAGACUGGAAUUCCUGGUGUAGCAGUGAAAUGCGUAGAUAUCAGGAGGAAUACCGAUGGCGAAGGCAGGUCUCUGGGCUGACACUGACGCUCAUGCACGAGAGCGUGGGGAGCAAACAGG
Molecule: ribosomal RNA, 253 nt
Filed under: uncultured bacterium
Lineage: Bacteria
Description: partial 16S ribosomal RNA
Rfam family: Bacterial small subunit ribosomal RNA
Source: RNAcentral